Non-coding RNA from Caenorhabditis briggsae, 45 nucleotides. Lineage: Eukaryota; Metazoa; Nematoda; Chromadorea; Rhabditida; Rhabditidae. The record is from Rfam.
CCAACGGCCCUCUUUAGGGCCACAAAUACCAAAAAAUCCAAUUGA